UGCAAGUCGAACGGGAUCCACUGGGCUUUUGUUUGGUGGUGAGAGUGGCGAACGGGUGAGUAAUGCGUGACUAACCUGCCGUAUGGUUGGGGAUAGCUCCUGGAAACGGGUGGUAAUACCCAAUGCUCCAGCUGGAUGCAUGUCUGGUUGGGAAAGCUUUUGUGCCAUAUGAUGGGGUCGCGUCCUAUCAGCUUGUUGGUGGGGUGAUGGCCUACCAAGGCGUCGACGGGUAGCCGGCCUAAGAGGGCGACCGGCCACAUUGGGACUGAGAUACGGCCCAGACUCCUACGGGAGGCAGCAGUGGGGAAUAUUGCACAAUGGGCGCAAGCCUGAUGCAGCGACGCCGCGUGCGGGAUGGAGGCCUUCGGGUUGUAAACCGCUUUUAUAGGGGGGCAAGCUAUGCCUGUGUGGUGUGGUGAGUGGACUUUAUGAAUAAGCACCGGCUAACUACGUGCCAGCAGCCGCGGUAAUACGUAGGGUGCAAGCGUUGUCCGGAUUUAUUGGGCGUAAAGGGCUCGUAGGCGGUUUGUUGCGUCUGGUGUGAAAGCUUACUGCUUAACGGUAGGUUGCGCUGGAUACGGGCAGGCUUGAGUGCAGUAGGGGAGACUGGAAUUCUCGGUGUAACGGUGGAAUGUGUAGAUAUCGGGAAGAACACCUAUGGCGAAGGCAGGUCUCUGGGCUGUUACUGACGCUGAGGAGCGAAAGCGUGGGGAGCGAACAGGAUUAGAUACCCUGGUAGUCCAUGCUGUAAACGGUGGACGCUGGAUGUGGGGCCCAUUUC
Molecule: ribosomal RNA, 781 nt
Filed under: Bifidobacteriaceae bacterium sp2-iso-ab41
Lineage: Bacteria; Bacillati; Actinomycetota; Actinomycetes; Bifidobacteriales; Bifidobacteriaceae
Description: bacterial SSU rRNA
Rfam family: Bacterial small subunit ribosomal RNA
Source: RNAcentral